UACAGAGGGUGCAAGCGUUGUUCGGAAUUAUUGGGCGUAAAGCGCGCGUAGGCGGCUUGGCAAGUCGGGUGUGAAAGCCCUCAGCUUAACUGAGGAAGUGCGCCCGAAACUGCUUUGCUUGAGUGCCGGAGAGGAUGGCGGAAUGCCCCAAGUAGAGGUGAAAUUCGUAGAUAUGGGGCGGAACACUGGUGGCGAAGGCGGCCAUCUGGACGGUAACUGACGCUGAGGCGCGAAAGCGUGGGUAGCAAACAGG
RNAcentral lists this ribosomal RNA (253 nucleotides) under uncultured bacterium. Its description in RNAcentral is "partial 16S ribosomal RNA". It matches the Rfam family "Bacterial small subunit ribosomal RNA", at positions 524 to 776 of the family's 1533-position model. The record is from RNAcentral.